AAUGGGAUAGUUGGGUAAAGUGGUUUCAUUUCAAGUUUUCCAAGAAAUCUCCAUACUGCUUUCCAUAUUGGCUGCACCAUUUUGUAGUCCUACCAGCAAU
This 100-nucleotide microRNA precursor is filed under the name Marmota monax (woodchuck). The record is from RNAcentral. Lineage: Eukaryota; Metazoa; Chordata; Mammalia; Rodentia; Sciuridae.